GGCUUUAUAGCUCAGUGGGAGAGCGUUUUCAUCGGAAUCGCAAAGGUCAUGGGUUCGAAUCCCGUUUUAGCCU
Molecule: non-coding RNA, 73 nt
Organism: Desmophyllum pertusum
Lineage: Eukaryota; Metazoa; Cnidaria; Anthozoa; Scleractinia; Caryophylliidae
Source: the annotation of a GenBank genome assembly